This 253-nucleotide ribosomal RNA is filed under the name uncultured bacterium. Its description in RNAcentral is "partial 16S ribosomal RNA". It matches the Rfam family "Bacterial small subunit ribosomal RNA", at positions 524 to 776 of the family's 1533-position model. The record is from RNAcentral.
UACGGGGGGGGCUAGCGUUGUUCGGAAUUACUGGGCGUAAAGGGCGCGUAGGCGGCUUGCCAAGUCAGGGGUGAAAUCUUUCGGCUCAACCGGAAAAGUGCCUUUGAUACUGGCGAGCUAGAGGGAGGUAGGGGUGCGUGGAACUUCUGGUGGAGCGGUGAAAUGCGUAGAUAUUCGCAAGAACACCAGUGGCGAAGGCGGCUCACUGGCCCGGUACUGACGCUGAGGUGCGAAAGCGUGGGGAGCAAACAGG